UACAGAGGGUGCGAACGUUGCUCGGAAUUACUGGGCGUAAAGCGCGUGUAGGCGGGGUCGCAAGUCAGAUGUGAAAUCCCUGGGCUCAACCCAGGAACUGCAUCUGAAACUGCGAUCCUUGAGUACUGGAGAGGGUGGCGGAAUUCCUGGUGUAGAGGUGAAAUUCGUAGAUAUCAGGAGGAACACCGGUGGCGAAGGCGGCCACCUGGACAGUAACUGACGCUGAGACGCGAAAGCGUGGGGAACAAACAGG
RNAcentral lists this ribosomal RNA (253 nucleotides) under uncultured bacterium. RNAcentral's name for it is "partial 16S ribosomal RNA". It matches the Rfam family "Bacterial small subunit ribosomal RNA", at positions 524 to 776 of the family's 1533-position model. The record is from RNAcentral.